Molecule: non-coding RNA, 1278 nt
Organism: Rattus norvegicus (Norway rat)
Lineage: Eukaryota; Metazoa; Chordata; Mammalia; Rodentia; Muridae
Source: RefSeq, a predicted model, not a curated record
AGCCCCAACCCGUCCUUUCAGCCCCUCCCUCACCAAACCAGGGAUCUGGCAGGAGAGCAAGAAGGCAGCUGCAUCUUUCAACAGCUGCUUCUGGUCCCGAACUUCAUCCUGGCAGGACUCAGGAAAUCGAACCCCUGGGGAGAAGAUGUCAGGAUUGAAGCGAAUAUCAAAGGCUGUGCUGCUGACAGAGCCAACAGCCUUGCAGGCGUUUUGGAUCACCUCUCGGCUUCGAGGGUCUACUGUGGGGAUGUGAGGAUAGGAGGUAGAGUUGUGCUGCUAUGAGCCUCUUGCCCACCCGCUCUAGGGAUGUCUGCCUGCCCCUCAGAGAUCUGUGAGCUAAACUGCCACAACCAAACAAGCACAGCAGCCCCACCUGUGCCAUCGUCUGAGGCGAUGGUCUCUGCCAGCUCCUUCACCUUGGCCAGGCCGCUCACACUGCUGCCUUCCUCCUCACAACCUGCCUCAGAUCCUAGUGAGUCUUCAGAUUUGGUCUCUGUUGAGGAGGGAGGGCCACCAUUCUCCAGGGAGGUGGAGGUGUCCACCUUGCUGGCCUUCUGUUGCAUCAACUGUAAGGCGGCCAGCUUCAUGAAGAGAAGGUACCUAAGAGCAGCAAGGCAGGCGUGAUGAAGAAGGGGCUGUGGAGACUGGGGCCAGGCUGCCCAGUGGUUAAGAGCACUUGCUAUUCUUACAGAUUCAAUUUCCAGUACUGACAUGGCAGCUCUCAACCAUCUGCACUUCAGUUCCAGAAAGUUCAAUGCCCUCUUGUGACCUUUAAGGGAACUGGCAUAUGGGGUUGGGGAUUUAGCUCAGUGGUAGAGCGCUUGCCUAGGAAGCGCAAGGCUCUGGGUUCAGUCCCCAGCUCCGAAAAAAAAAAAAAAAAAAAAAGGAAACUGGCAUACAUGUGGUCACAUACAUGUAGGUAAAACAUUCAUACACACGACUAUAGCAAUUAACUCUUAAAAAAAAAACAAACCAGGCGGGUAUCAGCACAUGCCUCUAAUCUCAGAACUGGGGAGGAGAGGCAGAAAGAUCUCUGAGUUCAAGGCCAGCUUGGUCUUCAGAAUGAGUUCCAGGACAGCCAGAGCUAUACAGAGAAAUCUUGUCUCAAGAAAAUAAAACAAGGGCUGGAGAGAUGGCUUAACGGUUAAAAGCACUGCCUGUUCUUCCAGAGGUCCUGAGUUCAAUUCCCAGCAACCACAUGGUGGCUCACAGCCAUCUAUAAUGGGAUCUGAUGCCCUCUUCUGGUGUGUCUGAAGACAGCUACAGUGUAUUCAUAUA